CACAUGAACGCAGCUGAUCGUUACUAAACGAACUGGAUCUGGAGCCUAGACUACUAGUUCCUGCUUGCUACACGACUGUGGCAACCAAGAUAAAGAGAAAAUGAGCUCUGGGAAAGCACUGCAGUCGAUGUAUACUCACCUCAAUCAACAGCCACCGACACCAAGCCUGGCGAAAAGAAAGAAGAUUCAAGAGAAGUCUGAAAUAAGGAGUCCAACAGACAAUGUGAUGUCCCCAUGUACAAGACAGCUCAUGAGGAAAGCUAUCAAGGACAUACCAUCAUCUCCCAGACCCAGACGGGAAGAGAAAGAGAACUCUAAAUAAACGAAUGACCUUUUUAAGUACA
This is a long non-coding RNA of Coregonus clupeaformis (lake whitefish), 344 nucleotides long. RefSeq lists it as uncharacterized. The transcript has 4 exons. The record is from RefSeq and is a predicted model, not a curated record. NCBI's taxonomy places the organism in Eukaryota, Metazoa, Chordata, Actinopteri, Salmoniformes, Salmonidae.